Molecule: ribosomal RNA, 497 nt
Filed under: uncultured bacterium
Lineage: Bacteria
Description: partial 16S ribosomal RNA
Rfam family: Bacterial small subunit ribosomal RNA
Source: RNAcentral
GAUGAACGCUGGCGGCGUGCCUAAUACAUGCAAGUCGAGCGAACAGACGAGGAGCUUGCUCCUCUGACGUUAGCGGCGGACGGGUGAGUAACACGUGGAUAACCUACCUAUCAGACUGGGAUAACUUCGGGAAACCGGAGCUAAUGCCGGAUAACAUGUUGAACCGCAUGGUUCAACAGUGAAAGACGGUUUUGCUGUCACUUAUAGAUGGAUCCGCGCCGCAUUAGCUAGUUGGUAAGGUAACGGCUUACCAAGGCAACGAUGCGUAGCCGACCUGAGAGGGUGAUCGGCCACACUGGAACUGAGACACGGUCCAGACUCCUACGGGAGGCAGCAGUAGGGAAUCUUCCGCAAUGGGCGAAAGCCUGACGGAGCAACGCCGCGUGAGUGAAGAAGGUCUUCGGAUCGUAAAACUCUGUUAUUAGGGAAGAACAAAUGUGUAAGUAACUAUGCACGUCUUGACGGUACCUAAUCAGAAAGCCACGGCUAACUACGUG